Molecule: ribosomal RNA, 414 nt
Filed under: Escherichia coli
Lineage: Bacteria; Pseudomonadati; Pseudomonadota; Gammaproteobacteria; Enterobacterales; Enterobacteriaceae
Description: partial 23S ribosomal RNA
Rfam family: Bacterial large subunit ribosomal RNA
Source: RNAcentral
UCGCUCAACGGAUAAAAGGUACUCCGGGGAUAACAGGCUGAUACCGCCCAAGAGUUCAUAUCGACGGCGGUGUUUGGCACCUCGAUGUCGGCUCAUCACAUCCUGGGGCUGAAGUAGGUCCCAAGGGUAUGGCUGUUCGCCAUUUAAAGUGGUACGCGAGCUGGGUUUAGAACGUCGUGAGACAGUUCGGUCCCUAUCUGCCGUGGGCGCUGGAGAACUGAGGGGGGCUGCUCCUAGUACGAGAGGACCGGAGUGGACGCAUCACUGGUGUUCGGGUUGUCAUGCCAAUGGCACUGCCCGGUAGCUAAAUGCGGAAGAGAUAAGUGCUGAAAGCAUCUAAGCACGAAACUUGCCCCGAGAUGAGUUCUCCCUGACUCCUUGAGAGUCCUGAAGGAACGUUGAAGACGACGACGU